Mus musculus (house mouse) is the source of this 4052-nucleotide RNA transcript. It is a transcript of the gene named TBC1D12: TBC1 domain family, member 12, with no coding region annotated. The record is from RefSeq and is marked validated. The transcript has 14 exons. NCBI's taxonomy places the organism in Eukaryota, Metazoa, Chordata, Mammalia, Rodentia, Muridae.
GUGCCCGGCCUCCGGCAACUGCCCCGGCCGCCGGGUGGGAGGGGUGGGUCCGGGGACGUCGCGGCGGCCGUGGCCGCGAACCCUGCACGCAGGGCAGUCCUCCUCCGCCGCCUCAGAUGAUGGGUCCCGAGGAUGCCGGAGCCUGCUCGGGAAGGAACGCCGAGCUGCUCCCAGUCCCGGGGCCCAUGGGUCAGGACGGGAAGACCGUCCCGGCCACCAGCGGCUUUAGCGGAGGCGCUGUCGCCGCGGAGCCGCCGGAGGAGGCUGGAGAGGAGGAGGCGCCGCCGCCGCGGCAGCUCCUGCAGCGGUACCUCGCGGCGGCCGCGGGCCCGCUGAAGCCCGGGCUCGGCGGGGCGGAGGCGGAGGCGGAGGAGGCGGCGGCGGCAGCAGUCCCCGCGGCGCGCGGCUCAGGCAUGACCAACGGAGACUCGGGCUUUUUGCUGCGCCAGGACCGUCGCGGCCCAGAGGAGGCACGUCGCCGCCGAACCUGCGGCCGUCCCUGCCUGCUGGAGCCCGCGGACGAGGGCGUGGACGGUGCGGGUGGCCUGGACGACUGGGCCGCGCCGCUCGAGGACCCGCUGCGGAGCUGCUGCCUGGCGGCCGGGGACACGGACGACCCGGACCCCGCAGCCGCCACCCCUGCCGGGAGGGCCGUCGAGAGCGCGGAGCCCAGCCUCGGCCUCCCCGACGCCCGCUUCGGCUCUCGGAACACGUUCGAGGUGAGCCGCCGUCAGAGCGCCGGCGACCUCCUGCCCUCAGCGGGGCCGUCCGCACCCUUGCCAGCGGCAGAGCAGGGUCCCGGGGGCACCACGGCUCGGGCUCGACGGAGCGGUGGCUUCGCGGAUUUCUUCGCCAGGUCGUGAGGAAGAUGAAGCCUGGGAGGCAUGGAACCGUGCUUACAAAUGUGAGCUGCUGCUAGAGAAUGAAUGUGAGGAGGUUUAGAGAGAAAGACUUGCUGGGAAGAGUGAAUGAUAGAAACCUUUUCCCAAAAAGGACAAAGGAACUCAAAUCAGUUGUCCAUAGUGCUCCUGGCUGGAAGUUAUUUGGUAAAGUCCCUCCCAGAGAAAAUCUUCAGAAAACCUCCAAAAUUAUUCAGCAGGAGUACGAAGCUCGCACAGGGAGGACCUGUAAAGCAGCCCCCCAGUCUUCACGACGCAAGAGCUUUGCGCUGGAGCCACUUUCUACCACUGCCCUGAUUCUGGAGGACCGACCACCGAAUCUUCCUGCGAAAUCUGUGGAAGAAGCGCUGCGUCACCGGCAGGAGUAUGAUGAGAUGGUGGCCGAAGCUAAAAAACGAGAAAUUAAAGAAGCACAUAAAAGAAAAAGAAUAAUGAAAGAACGAUUUAAGCAGGAAGAAAGCAUUGCAAGUGCAAUGGUAAUUUGGAUCAAUGAAAUACUGCCCAAUUGGGAAGUAAUGCGUAGUACCAGAAGAGUUCGAGAAUUGUGGUGGCAGGGAUUGCCCCCUAGUGUCCGUGGGAAAGUUUGGAGUCUAGCUGUAGGAAAUGAACUAAAUAUCACUCCUGAACUUUAUGAAAUCUUUCUUUCAAGAGCAAAAGAACGUUGGAAAAGCUUCAGUGAAUCAAGUUCUGAGAACGACACGGAAGGUCUAUCUGUUGCUGACCGAGAGGCUAGUCUGGAAUUAAUUAAGUUGGACAUAUCCCGUACAUUUCCAUCUCUCUACAUCUUUCAGAAGGGUGGCCCAUAUCACGAUGUUUUGCAUAGUAUCUUAGGGGCAUAUACAUGUUACAGACCUGAUGUUGGUUAUGUCCAGGGGAUGUCCUUCAUCGCAGCCGUUCUCAUCCUCAAUCUGGAGGAAGCAGACGCCUUCAUUGCGUUCGCGAAUCUCCUAAACAAGCCGUGCCAACUGGCCUUUUUCCGAGUGGAUCACAGCAUGAUGUUGAAGUAUUUUGCAACAUUUGAAGUAUUCUUUGAGGAAAACCUAUCCAAACUAUUUCUUCAUUUCAAGUCGUAUAAUCUGACACCAGAUAUAUAUUUGAUAGAUUGGAUCUUCACAUUGUACAGCAAAUCACUGCCACUUGAUCUGGCUUGUCGAGUCUGGGAUGUGUUUUGUAGAGAUGGGGAGGAAUUUUUAUUUAGGACUGGAUUAGGGAUCCUCCGGCUAUAUGAAGAUAUACUCCUACAGAUGGACUUUAUUCAUAUAGCACAAUUUCUUACCAAAUUGCCAGAAGAUAUAACAUCAGAAAAGCUUUUCAGCUGCAUCGCAGCCAUUCAGAUGCAGAAUAGCACCAAGAAAUGGACUCAGGUCUUUGCAUCUGUAGCAAAGGACAUUAAAGAAGGGGACAAGAACACCAGCCCUGCUCUGAAGAGCUAACCUUUGAGUUAGUGACAAACUGAAAUGCAAAAGGUAGUUUUCGGGGAAAGUUUUCUCUUUCCUAUGUAGAUACCGUGAAGAAAUGUCGGAGAGAAGAAUCGGGACCUGGAAAAACUUCUGGGUUUAAAUUCCACGGCUGAAGUAAAUGAAACGCGUAAUUUAUUGACAGUAUUAAUAAAAAAGUACCUGUGGAGAGCCAUUUUUCAGAGGAAAAGGCUUAGUUGGCUAUUACAUACUCCAUAAUUUGGAGUGAAUACUUUAAUGCAAUAAUUUUUUUUAAAAAAAAUAGCUUCACAGAAACUUCAAUUUUUAUGUCGUUUCUUUUUUAACAAUUAACUACAAAUGCACUUCUGGAGUCAGAAUAGGAUUGCUAAAUCCUACUUUAGUCUCCAAAAAUGAUAGAACACAUGUAUUAUCUCCAGUUCUGAGCUUGGGAAGAUAUUCUAGACCAGUAGUAAGCAACUGAGUCGUAAGUUCCGUCCGCCACUGGAGCUCUUGCCUGCCUUGCUCGCAGGCCAGGGAGGUCCGCAUCCUCGAGAACUGGAACACUGGUGGACAUGAUUGCCUGUUUUGCUUAUGGAGUUUCCCACAGUGUUGUGUCCCCUUGGUUUUUGAAGAGAAAUCUUUCUCUAAGUAAUUUCUAUCACAAAAGAAUUUUCGCCUUAUUGUUUCUUGUCUGCAAAUUGUUAUGUAGUAACUUAACAUUAAAAAAACUAGGUAACUGGUAGAAAGGAAGAUCUUUUUGCACUUUAGAGGACUGAAGACUUGACUUUGAGAAUAAGAAUAAGAAAGCAAUGAAUUCUAAGAGUUCGAGAUAACACACUACUUACAAGACUUGAAUUUUUUAGUUAAAAUCCAUGUUCUAUCUAUAGAAACAAAUUUUAUUAAUUUCAGUUUGAAAUUUAAAACUUUAUAUAGCUAAGUCUAAGACUUGUGAAACUCUAUGCAUAUUUUUUUCUAAUUGAUGGGAAUAAUAGUAAAAGUAAUUUUACCUUUUUUCUUAGUCUAAUGGCAUCUCAGAUAAACUAUUAAUCAUUGGUAAAUUGACAUUAAAUUUAUUACUCUUAAUUUCUUAACCUAACCUAAAUCAUUUGAGUAUUAUGGUUAAUAUCAGUAUAAAAUACUAUUUGGUUAUUGAUUAGAUUUAUACUGUUCUGAUGUUGCAAUUUGGUUUGAAACAACAUAGAAGCACACAUUUCUGUUAGUAGUGGACAUACAUAUAUAUAGUCUUUAGACUAACAAGCCAGAGAUUCUUCCUUAUUGGAUAAUAAACUGCCUUAGGAGUAUGGGACCAGAGGAAGUGCAUAUAUUUUUACCCUAUGGGUUGAUCAUUCUAGCCUCAGGAACCCUGUAGAAUUAACUCCUGUCAUAGGGGCUAGCUCAGUGAAACUGGUAGUAUAAUAAAACAGUGAGGGAGUUUCUAGAGUCUUAAUAGGUUCUAGCAUGAGGACUAUCCCUUAAUAUUGGUGUCUCUCAUAAAAGGCACAUAACCUCCGGGAGUAAUCUCAUUGAAUUUAUAUUACUUGGCCUAGAUUUAAUCUUAUUUUCAUGUAUUAGUUUGCUAAGGUGGUCCUACACUCUGCAUUUCUUUCCCUUAUUUUUUUUAUUGUACAGUUUCUUUACCUACCAAGUAUAAAUGUGUAUAUAAAAUGUAAAUACAAGAAAUUCACUAAAAUCCACUAGUAACAAUUACUAUGAAAAAUAAAACUUGUACACAGAA